AACUAGAAAGCGAAGUAUUGCAGUUAGUUUCGACCUAACUUUUGGUGGGGUUCACCUCUAAUUA
RNAcentral lists this transfer RNA (64 nucleotides) under Oplophorus spinosus. Its description in RNAcentral is "tRNA-Arg". Lineage: Eukaryota; Metazoa; Arthropoda; Malacostraca; Decapoda; Oplophoridae. The record is from RNAcentral.